GCGGCAGGAGGUGGAGGCGGUGGCGUCGGUGUACGGCGACGACUGCCGCGUGGUGCGCGGCUUCCCUCCCCACCUCGUCGUCCACGUCCGCCCCCGCACCGCCGACGACUCCUCGCAGCAGUUCGUGGAGCUAUUUCUUGGAAUUAAAGCAUCUUCUCAGUAUCCAAAAGCACCUCCUCAUGUUUAUGCCGUGGAAAGUAAGGGCCUUGAUGAGAAUCGACAGGUGUAUCUUAUUAGCAGCAUCCAGAACAAGGCAAGAGAACUUUCCUGCUACCCG
RNAcentral lists this unclassified non-coding RNA (277 nucleotides) under Hevea brasiliensis (rubber tree). The record is from RNAcentral. Lineage: Eukaryota; Viridiplantae; Streptophyta; Magnoliopsida; Malpighiales; Euphorbiaceae.